UACGUAGGCAGCAAGCGUUGUUCGGAGUUACUGGGCGUAAAGGGUGCGUAGGCGGCUUUUUAAGUUUGGUGUGAAAUCUCCCGGCUCAACGGGGGAGGGUGCGCCGAAUACUGAGAGGCUAGAGUGUGGGAGAGGAAAGUGGAAUUCCUGGUGUAGCGGUGAAAUGCGUAGAUAUCAGGAGGAACACCGGUGGUGUAAACGGCUUUCUGGACCAUAACUGACGCUGAGGCACGAAAGCGUGGGUAGCAAACAGG
RNAcentral lists this ribosomal RNA (254 nucleotides) under uncultured bacterium. RNAcentral's name for it is "partial 16S ribosomal RNA". It matches the Rfam family "Bacterial small subunit ribosomal RNA", at positions 524 to 776 of the family's 1533-position model. The record is from RNAcentral.